GAUGAACGCUGGCGGCGUGCCUAAUACAUGCAAGUCGAACGCUUCACUUCUGUGAAGAUUGGCUAACGGGUGAGUAAUACAUAAGUAACCUGGCAUCUACAGGGGGAUAACUUAUGGAAACGUCAGCUAAGACCGCAUAGGUGUAGAGAUCGCAUGCACUCUAUAUGAAAAGUGCUACGGGACUGGUAGAUGGUGGACUUAUGGCGCAUUAGCUUGUUGGUAGGGUAAAGGCCUACCAAGGCGACGAUGCGUAGCCGACCUGAGAGGGUGACCGGCCACACUGGGACUGAGACACGGCCCAGACUCCUACGGGAGGCAGCAGUAGGGAAUUUUCGGCAAUGGGGGAAACCCUGACCGAGCCACGCCGCGUGAAGGAAGAAGUAAUUCGUUAUGUAAACUUCUGUCAUAGAGGAAGAACGGUGGAUAUAGGGAAUGAUAUCCAAGUGACGGUACUCUAUAAGAAAGCAACGGCUAACUACGUG
This 482-nucleotide ribosomal RNA is filed under the name uncultured bacterium. RNAcentral's name for it is "partial 16S ribosomal RNA". It matches the Rfam family "Bacterial small subunit ribosomal RNA", at positions 28 to 507 of the family's 1533-position model. The record is from RNAcentral.